Molecule: ribosomal RNA, 497 nt
Filed under: uncultured bacterium
Lineage: Bacteria
Description: partial 16S ribosomal RNA
Rfam family: Bacterial small subunit ribosomal RNA
Source: RNAcentral
GAUGAACGCUGGCGGCGUGCCUAAUACAUGCAAGUCGAGCGAACAGACGAGGAGCUUGCUCCUCUGACGUUAGCGGCGGACGGGUGAGUAACACGUGGAUAACCUACCUAUAAGACUGGGAUAACUUCGGGAAACCGGAGCUAAUACCGGAUAAUAUAUUGAACCGCAUGGUUCAAUAGUGAAAGACGGUUUUGCUGUCACUUAUAGAUGGAUCCGCGCCGCAUUAGCUAGUUGGUAAGGUAACGGCUUACCAAGGCAACGAUGCGUAGCCGACCUGAGAGGGUGAUCGGCCACACUGGAACUGAGACACGGUCCAGACUCCUACGGGAGGCAGCAGUAGGGAAUCUUCCGCAAUGGGCGAAAGCCUGACGGAGCAACGCCGCGUGAGUGAUGAAGGUCUUCGGAUCGUAAAACUCUGUUAUUAGGGAAGAACAAAUGUGUAAGUAGCUAUGCACGUCUUGACGGUACCUAAUCAGAAAGCCACGGCUAACUACGUG